AUCAGGCGAUCAUAAUGCCCCCCAAUAUUCCAGCGGCAUAUGUAUGUUUCAUAACGGUUGAUCAUCGUGUGUCAGGUACUCAGGCGACCCAUUAUAGCCAUACAUCCGGAAGUUGUGUUUACAGAAAAGCUGUGCAGCUUCAAUAGAUCAACAACUGAAUUCUGAAAGUUACCAUCUACUCUACCUAAAUAGCAACAGACGAAAAUGUGGCAUUCUGAGUUUUGAUUUCUGGGAUCAUCAAGUAAAUGUUUUCCCCAGAUUCCUCCCAAAUGGCGACUCUGGCAAUCUGCUGCCCACUUGGGAACCUCUGCUCAGUCAAUUUUGAGAAUACCUGAAAAUCAGCAGUAGUUUUGGUAAAAGAAACAACAAUGAGGUUUAAUAUCACUAUACUUACUCUAGUCAAACACGCAAAUCAAGCAUAUUCCUACAAAAGGGUGUUCUCUAGAAAGCGAAAGGAUGGAUAGGGAAGAAAAUGAGGAAAACAGACAUUCUAGAGCUUCAACGCUCUGCCCAUUGCGUACAUGAUCAACAAGAAAUAACUGAAUCCAGAUAUAACUCUGAUGGGAGUAAAGUAAUCCUAAAAGUUGGCCCAAUUCAUUGUUUCAUACUAGCAAGCACAUCGGGCUGUAGAAAUGCAAUCCACAAGUCAACAGAAAGGAAAACGGAAGGCAUACCGGGGAAUGGAGAAAUGCAAUCCUAAAAAUCAGUUUAAGUAUACCUGCCAUAGGAAUGGAGACAAUGCAGUUGCAACUGGAAAAGAAGGCACAUGCCUCUUCCUGCCACCACGCCUGACAGACACAGUAAACAACAUAACCUGAAGAAAAGAACAAACAAUCAGGAAAAAUCAUUUUUGAUCAUGGAUAGAGGCGCAGCCCACCGCAACACAACAUUUUCAUCAGAUUUCCAAGUAAAUUAUCAUCAGUAGAGCAACCAGACAACUGAGUUAGAAAAGGUUAUGGUUGUUUCAAAGUAACUGACAAGUAAAACUAUGAUAUGCAGAUGAUAUGAUCCGGAUGGCAGUAGUAUGCCAAGUAGUCAUACUGUCUGAGGCAUUAAGAAAUUUAAAUUGCAAAAUGCAAAUUACUACGGGUGUCAUAAUGUUGUGUACAAGAGUCACCUUCAGAGCAAGGGCUGCAGUAGGAGUGUACAGGAGCUGCAACUGUGGGAUUACAACAUGGAGAGGGAACAGGGAAGCAGCAGCACUUACGAAAAGACAUGCCGUCCUGCAGAACUUACGACCCAGAUCCUAUGUUCGGAGGGUGCAAGCUUCCGAUUUGAUAAGGUGUUUCUAAGGACGAACUUGACUCCCAAGCUCCCAUGUUCUCGGGGGGCAUGAUGCCAAACUGAAGCGAUCUUUGUGACACUUCAUCUUGAGCAGCAGCAUUUCGUACUUCAAAUGACGAUAUCCCUAGUUUUUCUUGUAAAGCUUCUACCUCCAAAACUUCAUUGGUUAUAUCCAGGCCAAGCUUCGCAGAAAGUGACUGCAUGUAUACAAGAUGAUCAGCUGCAUAAACAGACUAUAGAACUCCAUAUAGAAUGCAAUUCUAGAAAUAUAACCCCAGAAAUAUAAUCGAGAGUAAACAAAUGCAAAUUUAUCCACUUCGUAGCCUCUAAGAUACAAAAAGGGAAAUACUGGAAAUAAUAGGGGUAUUAACAACUCAGAUACCCUUAUCUGGUGGCUCAGGAAAGCUGAUAGCUUGGCCAUUCGCUCCAAUUGCUGGCCUCGGGUCGAACUGCCUUGGUCCUCACCACCUUUCUCUUCUGUAGCUUCGUCAAUGUUACACUCUUCACUAACUCCAUAAGAGGUACCAGAAUCUAGCAUUUUGAUGAUAGAAGAAGCAUUUUUGACUUCAUAUAGAACUUGAAUAGGAGAGACCAUGCAGUCUUUAGCACUGGUAACCAAGAACUAGCGUUACUCCAUAAACAACUAAAAUAAUACAAAAAAAAAGACAGCAACCCAUGGGGAAGAUAGCCCAACAAUACAUUUAAAACUAAAAUAAUACACAAAUAGAUACUUCAGGAGACUCACAUUUUUUCAAUUUCUAAGUCCUGCCCAAUAGGAUGCUCCAAAAGGUCGAACAGCAUAUCAGCAACAAAGUCGCCAAAUGUAUCAGGGAUCAACAACUCAGUGGCACCAUCAUCCUUAUACACUUUUUGGUCAUCAACCUAUUCCAGAAGUACAGAUGCAUUAGACGUUUCUAAUUUAUAGUUCAGAGUUCAUAUAAAAAAAGCAUAAAAAGUAAAAACUGAGGCACAUACCACACUGUUUCUUGAUACAUGGGUACCAAAGUUCCUAAUUAGGAAGAAGGCAUAAGUGAUCGGGAAGUCAGAUGACAACAUUUGGUUAAGAAGGUCCCGUUCAUGAGCAUCAUCUUUGACUUCACGUCCCCAUAACAAUAUCUUCUUGAAUAUGCCAAGCUGCUCAACUUUGUCUGUCCAAUUUUUAUCGAUCAUGCAUGUGCUCAACAAAUAGAAGAAGUCAUCUUUCUUGCUUGAUAGGAAACCAUCAACCUUAAUCUUGAUUUGGUACAUGACAUUCGCUCGCCCCAUUGAUGAUUUAAAGCAGCAAUGGGUAUCUAAACCCAAUCUGUAGGAUGUCGUGAGAGGCCCAUCUGGUAUAUUCUGUAAUUUCUUAACAAGAUGCAAAAGAUAUGGCGGGUAGUUCCCAUCCAAACUGAAGAAAGCCAAUAUAUAUUUUGCAAGGCGUUUGCCAUCAAGUUUCUUUUCGCCAGUUUGUCCUAGCUGUGGAUUGGGGUUUUUGAGUACAUGUACUUGGCCUCUCAAAAGAAUAAAAUGACUCAAAUUGAAUCUUCCAUUCCAACUAAGACCAGAGGCGAGGACAGCUGUGAAACAUUGCACCCAGCUGCUUAGCACAGCACAUGCUUCAUCGGUCAUCUUCAGCUUUACUGUUUCCUUUUCAGGCAGUUUAACAUAUUUAAGGAGCCUGUUGCCAAUUUUGCCUUCAGUUGAUUUAGGUUUAGCUUUACGGAAGUAUUCUUGUAGUGAAAUUGCUGUUAACAAAAAAAUAGUAUGAGACUGUGCCUUUUUCUAUAUCUAUUAUUACAGCAUUAAUGAAUAGUUCAAAAAAGAAAAAGGUAGACCAAAUGUAACAGUAACUCUAGUAAAAUGAACAAUAAUGUGGAUAAAGAGCAUUGAAGCAUGUGUGGACCUAGCAUGACUCACAGGUAUUCCUAGGAAUCAAAAUCAGUAUGUAUCAGGAAUAUACAUGUGUAUGUCUCAGAGGACACAGCAAAGCUUGGUUUUGCAAUCGCAUGGUUGCAGCAAGGCAUGCUUAUCACUUUAUCAGUGACUCUGUUGCAUACGACCCACACUUGGGAGUUUAUGAGUAUGUAAAUUUUCAUGUAUGAAAACAAGUGCUAUGAAUUAGAAUAACACUAAAGUGUGUUAAUUACAAUUACAGCCAUUUAAGAUUUUGAAUUCCUUAUAGCAAAUGUUGGUUGGAAAUCCUCCCAAAGCUAUAUAACCACACUGUGGGGAUUGCCCUCUCAUUUAACAAGAAACUCGUGCCUUGCACGCUAAGUAGUGAAUCUUAUGAUGGGAUGCAGAUGGUUAAUUUCCAACUGAUUCUCUUUACACAGUGAAGCUAUUAUUUUGAAUUUUUUUCUUAAUUAUUUGAGGUACCUACAUUAUGACAAUUUGUAUUUUAGUUCAUGCUACCGUGGACAUUUCACAUUCUUUUAUUUGAAUCUUUAAAGGAAUUCCCAAGUGCCACAUCCUAGGUCUGCUACUGUAUUGAAGUCAUGGAGAAAAUAAGUGGUAAGUCAUUAACAAUAACCUUCUUUGAAGAAAAAUGCUGCAUCCACGAUGCCUAAAAGCUCAUCUGAUAAUUUAGAGACUUCCUCAUGCAGCAAAGACAGAGCAGUAGAAUCUGGAAAUGAAGGGCCUAAUGACUUAGGCAGUGGAGGUCUUGGCUUGAGUUCCCUGAUCGGAGCAAUCCUCGGCACAAUCUUCCGGGGAUGGUACCCGUAAGCAAGCGCUGCUGAUUGAGUCAGUGAUGUGAGAUGUGCUCCUCCUUCAAAACAUGCACCUGCUGUUAUGUCACCCUGUCGAUUGGAACCGAUAUUUCAAUUAAAACAGCACAUCAUAAAACAAUUUCAGCCUAUAUUCAUAACCUUAAGGCCUUAAGCUAGGCAAUAGGCAUGCUUCCUUGCACCAAAACUCAACUAAUACACAAAGAAUGCUGAUUAGUCUCACGAUUUCAGUUUAAUUUACUGCCUGACCCAAUGGAAGUAUCCAUACAUUUGGAAACCAAGCACAUGUAGGAAUAAAUAGUGUACAUUGAAGGAUGGCAGUUCAAUGAAAAAAAUUGCCCAAAAGAUAAAGUGGUAGGACUGAAGAGAAGUAAAUGAAUGAGAUACUCCAUGCAAUACCUACGAAAGGAACCCUUUACAGAGCAAUAUGGAUCAUAUGCCUUACCAAGAACAUUUAAAUUAACCAGUUUACAUGUGAAAUGUGUAGCUCAAACAUAACACAACGCUCCUCAGCAACAAUAAAACGUUUCCAGGGCCAAAAAUCAUCAUUCAUCUAUCAGCAUAACCUAAUUACCAAGGGAUUAUAUGGUUUAUUUAUCAUGCUGAUACACACCAAUGACCAGCCAUAUGAAUUGAAUUGCAUUAUAUGAAAUCAAUAACAAAUUACCAAUGGCAGUUCUAAAUUAAGUGUAAUUACAGCUGAAUUUUCACCUGCUCAUCUCUCCCAUCCAAGUACUUCAAACUGGGGAUCAACUGGAAGAUAUUAUGUCGGUCCCCGAGGAAGUUGGUGAUGGGGCAACCGCAGAGAUCGAGCGAGUCGAUAGCAACGUCGGCUAGUGGAGUGAGCUCAUCCAACUCAGAGUACAGGUUAUCACCAAGGUCCAGCAAACGAAGCGUGGCGCCACAGGAUCCCCGGAUGGCGUCGAGGGAGGAGGCGCCCAACAAGCGAUUACGGGGGAGGUACAAGCGAAGGAGCUUCGGUAGUCGGGGCAGGCCGGCGAGAGAGUUAAGACCUGCGUCGGCGAUGGAUAGCUCGACGAGGGAUCGAGCGACGGGCCUGAAGAGAAUCGGCCUGGGGAGGCGGCCCGUGGAGGACUUGACGGUCCCGUCGAGGACUAGCGUCGUGGACGCGGAGGUCGAGGUACUCGCGGAGGCGGCGUCCGCGAUGGCGCUCCUCCACGCCGCUUCAUCCUCUGCGCCGGCGGCGGCGGCCAUUCUGCGGCGGCGGUCGGAGGCACAACCCUAACAAAACCCCGAGUUGGAGGUACGGCGUGCGGAAGUGGAUGCGCCUGGCGGUGGGUGGACUGGGCGAUGCGGGGGUGUACAAGGCUGUGCAAACGGCGGCAGGAACGUCGCCUCCAGCUGGCUUAGCAAGGAGUGGAUGACUGGUGGACCCACCUCAGGAUGUAAGGCAAGAAAAGAGAUGGAACUGGCGUAUGUUUCGCUCCUUCCUCUCAAAUGCCCCAGUAUAUACCUCAUCUAAAAAAAGUUAGCGAGGCUUCUCUGCAGGAGAACUGGAGGGGAAAGAUUGCCACCCUUUCGAGCGCUUUUCCUUUUCAUUUUUGACCCGACAAUCUAUCGUAACGGUUUGAAUCGCGUAGAUCAUUUUAGCAGCUCCCAAAUUCUUUUCCAAAACCUUCAUCUAUUUAUCAAGAGUUAUCUUUAUUGUCUGGAACUAUAUUGGACGCGUUCGGUUAUGCUGCAGUUGCAAGCAGCCGCUACAGCAACUGCAGCCAGCCAACAAACGCUGCUACCAAAGAACAGCUCCUGCAGCCAUCCAACAAUGGCUGCAGCGCUGCUGCUUAUUUGAACAGCAUUUCAAAAAUAGUGGGAAUUUGACAACAGAACCGUCCAAGACUCAACACAGAAAUGACCAUAUUGCACUCAAGCUUAGCUCGUAGCAACAACUCACUGCUAACUUAAACCCCAAAUUAGGCAUAAGGUGAUGGUUACAUCAUAUCCAUAACAAAAUAUUCACCAGGUAGACCAGUACACCACACAUCGUCCAAUUCUGAUGGUAAAAUCAUAUUACAAAUCAUGCUAAAUCAUACAGUUCAACUGCAAUCAAAUCACGGAGACUAACAAUAUUGUCAUUAGCUGUAGCUACUAACCAAUCCUACCAUCCGAAGACAAGAAUGAUGAUAGUUACAAACUUCAUUUAAACUUUCAGGACCUUUGACAUCAAAGUCCUUCAAAUGGCACCUGCUAUUGCGACAUGAUGCCAUAUAACCCUCACGUAUUGAGUAAUCAAAAUCCACCAAGUAAUACUUAUCUACAAGUCAACAUUUGUAAUUUAGAUAUGGCAAGCUCAUAUGUUAGUUAUUAUAUGGCAUAUAGUCAAAAUAUGCUGACCUAGUAACUAUAUGGCAUGCAGUCAACAAUGUAAUCUAAUCAAUGCAAACCAUAUAGUCCAGUUGCAAUCCAAUCACGAACUUUACUAAUAUCAUCGUUGGAGUAGCGAACCAAUCUGAUGCAAGGUUAUUUUCAUCACCAGUCCUAAUAAGGUAGGUGCCAUGACCAAACAUGUCGGUAGCAAGCAUUCCAGGUUCGUUGUUGUCCAAUGCAAAAUUAUGUAGUGCAAAGCAUGCAACAAUAAUCUUUGAUUGUUUCUCCAUACUAUAUAACAGUAUCCCUCUUAGAAUCUGCCACUUAUUCUUUAGCACUUCAAAAGACCGUUUCACAACAUUUUGAAGGCACUAAUGAUGGUAGUUAAAAAUUUCAUUCAAAUUCUCAGAACAUUUGGAUAACACAAUGAAGAAUAAACAUUGAUAUAUUGUGAGAUUAUGAAAUUUUACCGUACUGAUUAUCCUUUACUACUUCAUUUUCUCUUUAUGCCUACGGCCAUCCAUCUUGGGAAUGAGUAAAAAAGAAUGUGCACAAUAUGCAACAACCAUUAUCAUGAGUUACCAUUACAAUUUUGCAUUUGCUAAAAAAAAGAAUAGAUCGAAAAAGCUAUCAGGACUCUUCCAGUGUGAUUCUGACUUACGAAGUAAGAACACUAGUGUAGCUAACAAAAUUGAAACGUUAGAAUUUCUGACAUCGGAAACUGAACUAUGUCCAAAGAAAAAGAAAAAACGUAAGAUAAAUCCGUAAUCAAUUUCGCACGAUAUAAGAGCUUACGGCCUAAUCAAAGGCACACGAGAUCUUACCCCAGCUUAUGUGUUCAGAUGCACGAAAUCUAGCAGCGUACAAACGUGUAGAUCGAGAAUGGAGAGGAUUAGAGAUUGGAGGGAUACUCACGUUGGCAGGCUACCUCGAUCUACAGAGUCAUUGGUCGACACCGGCUCCAGCAAGAUCCCGUCGCUGGUGAGGGAACGGAUCAAGGAGGCACCGAGAACUCGAUUUGGAGCCCUCCUAGCGCGACAACCUUCACGGGGGUGGGAUGCAACGGGCGGCAGCCGGCCUCGAAACCCUACCUUCUCUCGAGUUCAGUGGGAGGCGACUGGGGGAACCGGAGACGAGAGUUGACCAGAUGGGAACCGGAGAAUGUGAGAUAAACCUACAGUUGAUCGGCUGGGCUGCUGGCUGUUGCUGUUUGGGCCGCAGCCGAAUGGCUGGGCUAUACAGAGCUGCAGCGGGCCGAGUUCAGUGGGAGGUGACUGGAGGAACCGGAGACAGGAGUUGACCAGAUGGGAACUAGAGAACGCGAGAUAAACCUGCAACUAUGUGAGAUAAGCCUACAGCUGUUCGGCUGGGUUGUUGGCUGUUUCGAUUUGGGCCGCAGCCGAACGGCUGGGCUGUACAACCACAGCUACAGCGGACCAAAAAUCAGCAGCAAACAGGUCCACAGUGUCAAUUUCAUGUUUAAAAAUUCUGUUUGUUAUGGCUAUUUCGGCUUGUAUUGACGUUUCGGCAACAAGGAGACACCGUACCCGAGGCAGUAGUCUAUCUUGAUUGUUAGCACCGAAUUGUCUUGAUAAACAAACUUUGCAAGCUAUUACAAUAGUUUUGUUUACGCUAUAAUUUUGUGCCAUGGUCACCAUUUUAGAUAGAGUUACAAAAGCACUUCCACGCUCAAAUGUUGAGCCAUAUUGACAAAAAAAAAAGCUAUACAAACUAGGAUAGGAACGCAAUUUGCGGUGAUCCCGUGAUACGAUUAGUGUAGGUCAUCAGUAUUGGGGAAAAUAAAUGAUUCUUAAAAUGAUAAAGCCAUAAUUCUAAGCUUCUAACCUAGGACAAUUCCUCUUCAAAACUAGUGUCAUUAUGCCGUAGUACAUUGCUAUCCUAGCACUAGUUUCCCGCCAAAAUGUUCUGCUUCUUGGGCCUGGGAGGCUGGGAGUGCAGCCCACAAAGUAGCCAGGAGCUAUCACCUAGAGGCCCAACUGAACAAGCUGAAGCCGUUAGUUAGGCUCCAGGCUCCUCUGACGAAAAAUGGAAAACAACCCAAGCUAUACUGACCAUCCAAUUAAGAUACAAAGUUAUCAGAAAAUCAUCCAUAAAUUUCUUACUCGUACAACUGGCAGAGCCUAUUUUUAUUACAGCCAAGCUGCAAAAGCAAAUCAUUCUGCAAGACCUGAAAAUGUAUUAAGCCUGAACUGCUGAAGCGCUGAUCAGUUGCCGCCAGCAAGUGAAUGCUGAACUGCUAACCCACUGAAAGCCUGAAAACAAUGUGAUUCCAGAAAUCUCUUGCUGCAGAUAACAAGUCCAAGUAAGUUAAACAAUUAUGCAUCAACCUUUUUAUAACUUCUAAAAAAACCUUUUUAUAGGAAAAGAUGAUCCAUUAUCUUCCAACACAACACGUAGUUCUAUGUGAUGGUUGGUCCUUGGCACUUGGCACAUGAUGAUUGAGCUGAGUUCUUCGGCCGCACUGCAAUGUUCCCAAAAUUCGAGUGCAAGCAAGUCCCACAGAAAGAAAAAGGAUUAAACUUGUUUCAGGUUAAUUUCCCCUAAAAUGAAAGAUCCAACAAAUUACCAUCCCUUACCUUCUUAUGUGUAAGACACCUCUGACAGUUGAUUUUUAAGAAACCUGAGAAUCCAAUAGGAAACAUUAGGACCUGUUUGAAUAAUCAUAGACACAACAGAACAAUUAGUGAAACUUCAAAACUUUGACUAAAAUUAGUCAAAAUAUGCACAUGCUUAGUAUAUAAAGUUGUAUCAAUAGAUAGUCUAAGAAGUGCAUUCUAAGACAGCGAUGCUUUGACUAAAAAUGUAACUAGCAUUUUUUGUUUCAUAGAAACACCAAGGACCCAACCCAUGGAAAACUUGUGUUAAGAGACAAGAGAACACACAAGGUGGGUAUUUAUCCUCGACCAGCUUGUCAACUUGGAGGGAGCGCUAACUUCUAAAAUCCUCCCGUUCGCUUCAAAACAAAAAACAAGAAGAAGAAUGCACACAAGGAACUUGUAUAUUCAAUUAAAAGCCUAGAAGGAGAACCCAGAGAAGUACCCCAACACACAUAACCAAAAACUACCAUCUACCAUUACGCCACAUUGGUGUCCCCUAAAAGCUAAUAUUGGACAUUAAAAACAUAACCAGUUGUUAAUAGCUAAUUGGCUGCAAAGUAACCCUGAUUGAUAUUAUUUUUCCAAGCCAUAUUACUGUGUAGAUAGUCUAAGAGGUGCAUGUAAGACAGAGCGAUGCAAAAGGAUGGACACUGGAACAGACGACAAAUUGGAUAUACAAAACAAGAAGCAUUAGCGGAGGGAGAGUACAUGAAGAUAAGAUGAUACCUGGUACACUUCAUCUCGUCAAGUAUCCAUUUGAAUGAACCAGAACAUCUGCCAGUCUUGUUUCUAGCACCUUCUUGCCUGAAAGAGGUUUCCAUUCAAUCAUUUGUACACUAGUAGAGAAAUGAAACUUCCACAGUACACUGAACGCAAAAUACAGUAGCAGCAUGGAAUGAAUUCUCUUCAUUCAAAUACAAGAUCUAAGGUAGUGAAUAAAACUGAUCACAUAGGGCAGGUUACAAAGAAUUGAGCAUAGCAUGAUUAUACCUGGUGAUAAAAACAGGAAUAAAAAUUGUUCUGGAUAACGUUUAGCAGACAGUCUUAUAUGCGAUGCAGCGACAUAAAGAUACAAGAUUUGCUACGAAUAGGCUCCUUUGCUAACAUUUGGUCAAUUGGUCCAGGGUUUAUACUGUAAGUAACAUAGUACUUGACUAGCCAGACAAAUAAACAAGUGUAGAGAAUGCUUAAAUGGGCAUAACCCCAUAUAGAUCCUAUGUUUUUUAAAAAAGCAUGUCAUUCCCUACCGAUUGCUUAAUUGAUAAAUAAUUGCAACUGAGUCACUUGUAAAGAAAUAGGAGGAAAUAUUGUUUAGUUCACUAUUGCUCAUAAUCAGUUACUCACAAAUAAUAAUAUUGCAUAACGCAAUACAUCAUAAUGAUAACAGGACUAGAAAUAUGAAACAUUUAAUACCUAGAUAUCCAGAUACCCAAUUUAAAGUUUGUGAUAAGUCGCUUCAGCCCACAGGUGACGUGGCUUAAUCUCAGCCCUCCAUUGUCGAUCCGAUGGUGAGAGUGUGCCACCUCAUAGGGUGGGCAGCUGGCCUUAUGCUCAUAAAAUCCACUCUCUAAGUUAUACCAUGCUGUUCAAAAAAAAAAACAAUAAUGAGCAGUGUUGAUUCAAGGUCAUGAGUACAAUACAAUAACUUUUAUUUUACUCUUGCACAGUGAAUCUUUUGCCUAGAAAACUGCAGCAAAAUAAUACUAGUCCAGGUAUCAUGCUUAAUCGAGACAGACAUCAUGGAAAAUGGAUAUAUGGUCUGUCAUGAUUCAGAAUAGACACAAGAAGUGAGGACAGCAAAUAUUUAGGAACUGGAAUCAUUAAGUCAAGAUUGCAGUAUCCAUAACCGCUUGUGAAGAGGCUUUUAAUUACCUUUCAAGGUACCAGGUUAAUUCGCUAAUUUUUGCUACCUCCUCUUGAGAUAGGAGUGCUGAAACAUCAUCAGAAGGUAGAACUUUUGCAACCUCUUAAAUACCCUCAAAAAAAGCUAAUUUGAAAAUCUACUAAACAACUACUAUUGGAGAUGAUCCACAAAACAAACAAAUCAUACUACUAUGAACAAAUUCGAAGGAUAAGUAAAAAGAAAAAUAUGAAUCUAAAUUGCAAUAUGUGUAAUCAACAUGCAUAUAGAAGAAAACAUAUGAAAUUUAAUCACCUGCAGAUGGGAUACGGCUUGAUUCAAGCCACGAUUAGAGCACACAUGGUUUAAGGAAGUCAGGAAAAUGGUGAAGGGCACUGAGAACCGAACCGACUUCGUCUAUGUCUACAGCGAAAACAAAGUUGCCGCUUGUGACAUAAGCCUUCAGUGGGUCAAUAGCACCAAUCCCUGGUGUGUCCUUAAAUGGGCGGCCAUAAAUCUUGCAGAGUCGGCUACUCGGCUGAGGGCGACAUUGCACUACAGCACCCAGGAGCUGCCGUCAUCUUCAAGGGCAUACGAGCUGAGAAAGGAAGGCUGCUCCUGGGACACCUCGACGUAGCGCAGCUUCCCCUCGCUGACCCCAUUCGGGCAUUCGGCGGUGCCCGCCAAGCGCCUGCGGCGCUUCUACAAAGCGAAGACUCGGCUAAGCGCCACCCGGUGCUCCAGCGUCCAGCCGCUGUCAUCAUCAUCAAGGGCAAAGGAACUGAGCAUGAAAGGCUUCUCCCGGGACACCUCGGCGUAGCGCAGCCUCCCCUCGCUGACCCCCAUGUGGCGGUACCUGCUCUGUACCCGCUGGUCCUCCCAACCCUCCACGGGCUCUGUCACGCUGCCCGUCGGCAGCUCGAUGAAGCGGAGGUCCGGUUGGUCGCUGAACGGGUCGGAGGAGACGACGCACCAGCUCACAUCGACCCACCAGAGCCGGCCGGCCAAGGCCAGCACCUCGCGGUCUAUAUUCAUCCGCCGCGCGAGCGGGAGUGGGGACGGCAAUCCCACCAGCUUCUCCCACUCCCCCGUUUGCGAGAGAAACCGCCGCAUGACGAACCUCCCCUCCUGCCCGUCGCGGUCCUCGCUGAGCACGGCGACGGCGUACCUUUCAGGCGGCCGGUCGGGGCGUUCAGAUUGGGUGAGGAUGCCCAUCUCCGAGAACCACUCCGUCUUCUUCGUGCCGUCGAUGUCCGGGAGGCGGAACAUCUGGCCACUGAGGGGGUUGCAGACGAAUCGCCUCAUGUCGACGUCCAGGUCGACGCCAGUCAGCUUGCGCUCCUGAGUGCCGCCGUGCGUGGCGACGAUGGGGGCGGUGCCGCUUAUAUCCAUGAAGGCGAGGAGGAGGAGGCCGUCGCCGCUCGAGGUUUUGAGGACGCCGCCGUAGAUUAUGGUUACGUCUUCGCCGCGGGGGUCGCGGCUGGGCGGGUCGGCGAGGUGGGCGGGGAUGAUGAGGUGGGAGAGGCACGGGGGCUCGGCGAACCGGAGCGACGCGCGCGGCGCCGUCGAUUCUGCCAGCCUCGCGAGCGGAUGCAUCAUAGCCCACGCAGGGCGCGAGGCGGACGAGGAGAAGCCGCGGCGGAGGCGGCCGGAGACGGCGGCGGAGAGGCCAAGGAUGCGCCGGAGCGGCAUCUCGGAGAAGCGGGCGAGCGGCGCUAGGCGUUGUGCUUGGCUUCUGCGAGAAGGGGAUUUGCGGCUGUGAUUGGGAAGGCCCGGUGCAUAGACACGGUGCGCGCAAGCGCAGCUCGAGCGGCGUCGGCAGCGUGGGGUAGUUCCACCGGGUGAUGUAGGCCGAUCUUCCUCUGGGCCCAGACGCAGUCGCUAUGGUCUAUUGAGGUUGGUCUAGGGACAGCUUUGGGAGCGGCUGGCUGGGAGGGGAAAGUUUGCCACCCUUUUGCUCACAAGACGACGAAGAAGUGAUUUCGAUUUUGAACGACCUGCCCAGCAGACCAUUGAGUGUUCCACGACUUCUCCACAUCGCCGGUUUCCCGCCGAAAUGACCUAGUCCUGGGCUGCUUGGGCCUAGUGAGGUCUUACCAAUCACUUGCGGCCCAACUGCAUCAGUGAAGGCCUCCAGCAGCGCACUUUACCAUUUCGCUAAUGUAAAACUAACGGGCUUUCUAACCAAGUAACGCAAACACUUUAUCAUUUCCGGCUUUGCGUCUGAUCGAACUAUCGAAGCCAAUCAGCACACUUUAUCCAUGCGAACACAAGUGAUCAUACGCGAUGCAUGAAAAGGUCACACUCCAGCAUAUUACAAAUGUCCCAGAAGUUAUCAGGCGAUCAUAAUGCCCCCCAAUAUUCCAGCGGCAUAUGUAUGUUUCAUAACGGUUGAUCAUCGUGUGUCAGGUACUCAGGCGACCCAUUAUAGCCAUACAUCCGGAAGUUGUGUUUACAGAAAAGCUGUGCAGCUUCAAUAGAUCAACA
RNAcentral lists this long non-coding RNA (13262 nucleotides) under Setaria italica (foxtail millet). RNAcentral's name for it is "long non-coding RNA (SITA_LNC002081)". The record is from RNAcentral. Lineage: Eukaryota; Viridiplantae; Streptophyta; Magnoliopsida; Poales; Poaceae.